AGUGGCGCUUGAGCCAGGUCAC
Molecule: unclassified non-coding RNA, 22 nt
Filed under: Mus musculus (house mouse)
Lineage: Eukaryota; Metazoa; Chordata; Mammalia; Rodentia; Muridae
Description: oocyte_clustered_small_RNA10672
Source: RNAcentral